ACGGGAGGCAGCAGUGGGGAAUAUUGGUCAAUGGGGGAAACCCUGAACCAGCAACGCCGCGUGAAGGAAGAAGGCUUUCGGGUUGUAAACUUCUUUUAAGGGGGAAAAGGAGAAGAUGGUACCCCUCGAAUAAGCCACGGCUAACUACGUGCCAGCAGCCGCGGUAAUACGUAGGUGGCAAGCGUUGUCCGGAUUUACUGGGUGUAAAGGGCGUGUAGCCGGGUCUGCAAGUCAGAUGUGAAAUCUAUGGGCUUAACCCAUAAACUGCAUUUGAAACUGCGGAUCUUGAGUACUGGAGGGGCAAUCGGAAUUCCUAGUGUAGCGGUGAAAUGCGUAGAUAUUAGGAGGAACACCAGUGGCGAAGGCGGAUUGCUGGACAGCAACUGACGGUGAGGCGCGAAAGUGUGGGGAGCAAACAGGAUUAGAUACCCUGGUA
RNAcentral lists this ribosomal RNA (436 nucleotides) under uncultured Oscillibacter sp. RNAcentral's name for it is "bacterial SSU rRNA". It matches the Rfam family "Bacterial small subunit ribosomal RNA", at positions 341 to 792 of the family's 1533-position model. The record is from RNAcentral. Lineage: Bacteria; Bacillati; Bacillota; Clostridia; Eubacteriales; Oscillospiraceae.